RNAcentral lists this ribosomal RNA (1307 nucleotides) under uncultured archaeon. Its description in RNAcentral is "16S ribosomal RNA". It matches the Rfam family "Archaeal small subunit ribosomal RNA", at positions 24 to 1337 of the family's 1478-position model. The record is from RNAcentral.
CGACUGCUAUCAGAGUGGGACUAAGCCAUGCGAGUCGACAUAGCAAUAUGUGGCAUACGGCUCAGUAACGCGUAGUCAAUCUACCCUAUGGACGGGAAUAACCACGGGAAACUGAGAAUAAUGCCCGACAGAACAUUAUACCUGGAACGGUUUAUGUUUCAAAUGAUUUAUCGCUGUAGGAUGGGACUGCGGCCAAUCAGUUUGUUGGUGAGGUAAUGGCCCACCAAGACUAUUACAGGUACGGGCUCUGAGAGGAGUAGCCCGGAGAUGGGUACUGAGACACGGACCCAGGCCCUAUGGGGCGCAGCAGGCGAGAAAACUUUGCAAUGUGCGAAAGCACGACAAGGUUAAUCCGAGUGGUUUCUGCUAAAGAAACCUUUUGCUAGUCCUAGAAACACUAGUGAAUAAGGGGUGGGCAAGCCUGGUGUCAGCCGCCGCGGUAAUACCAGCACCCCGAGUGGUCGGGACGAUUAUUGGGCCUAAAGCAUCCGUAGCCGGUUCUACAAGUCUUCCGUUAAAUCCAUCUGCUUAACAGAUGGGCUGCGGAGGAUACUAUGGAGCUAGGAGGCGGGAGAGGCAAGCGGUACUUAGUGGGUAGGGGUAAAAUCCGUUGAUCCACUGAAGACCACCAGUGGCGAAGGCGGCUUGCCAGAACGCGCUCGACGGUGAGGGAUGAAAGCUGGGGGAGCAAACCGGAUUAGAUACCCGGGUAGUCCCAGCUGUAAACGAUGCAGACUCGGUGAUGAAUAGGCUUAUUGCUAACUCAGUGCCGCAGGGAAGCCGUUAAGUUUGCCGCCUGGGGAGUACGGUCGCAAGACUGAAACUUAAAGGAAUUGGCGGGGGAGCACCACAAGGGGUGAAGCCUGCGGUUCAAUUGGAGUCAACGCCGGAAAUCUUACCGGGGGCGACAGCAGAGUGAAGGUCAAGCUGAAGACUUUACCAGACAAGCUGAGAGGAGGUGCAUGGCCGUCGCCAGCUCGUGCCGUGAGGUGUCCUGUUAAGUCAGGUAACGAGCGAGAUCCCUGCCUCUAGUUGCUACCAUUAUUCUCAGGAGUAGUGGAGCUAAUUAGAGGGACCGCCGUCGCUGAGACGGAGGAAGGUGGGGGCUACGGCAGGUCAGUAUGCCCCGAAACCCUCGGGCCACACGCGGGCUGCAAUGGUAAGGACAAUGAGUUUCGAUUCCGAAAGGAGGAGGCAAUCUCUAAACCUUACCACAGUUAUGAUUGAGGGCUGAAACUCGCCCUCAUGAAUAUGGAAUCCCUAGUAACCGCGUGUCACUAUCGCGCGGUGAAUACGUCCCUGCUCCU